Molecule: ribosomal RNA, 724 nt
Filed under: uncultured bacterium
Lineage: Bacteria
Description: bacterial SSU rRNA
Rfam family: Bacterial small subunit ribosomal RNA
Source: RNAcentral
GAUGAACGCUGACAGAAUGCUUAACACAUGCAAGUCUACUUGAUCCUUCGGGUGAUGGUGGCGGACGGGUGAGUAACGCGUAAAGAACUUGCCUUGCAGUCUGGGACAACGUCUGGAAACGGACGCUAAUACCGGAUAUUAUGAUUGAAUCGCAUGAUUUGAUUAUGAAAGCUAUAUGCGCUGCGAGAGAGCUUUGCGUCCCAUUAGUUAGUUGGUGAGGUAACGGCUCACCAAGACGAUGAUGGGUAGCCGGCCUGAGAGGGUGAACGGCCACAAGGGGACUGAGACACGGCCCUUACUCCUACGGGAGGCAGCAGUGGGGAAUAUUGGACAAUGGACCAAAAGUCUGAUCCAGCAAUUCUGUGUGCACGAUGAAGUUUUUCGGAAUGUAAAGUGCUUUCAGUUGGGAAGAAGAAAGUGACGGUACCAACAGAAGAAGCGACGGCUAAAUACGUGCCAGCAGCCGCGGUAAUACGUAUGUCGCAAGCGUUAUCCGGAUUUAUUGGGCGUAAAGCGCGUCUAGGCGGUUUGGUAAGUCUGAUGUGAAAAUGCGGGGCUCAACUCCGUAUUGCGUUGGAAACUGCCAAACUAGAGUACUGGAGAGGUGGGCGGAACUACAAGUGUAGAGGUGAAAUUCGUAGAUAUUUGUAGGAAUGCCGAUGGNGAAGCCAGCCCACUGGACAGAUACUGACGCUAAAGCGCGAAAGCGUGGGUAGCAAACAGG